AGAGUUUGAUCAUGGCUCAGAGCGAACGCUGGCGGCGUGCCUAAUACAUGCAAGUCGAGCGGCAGCGGAAAGUAGCUUGCUACUUUGCCGGCGAGCGGUGGACGGGUGAGUAAUGUCUGGGAAGCUGCCUGAUGGAGGGGGAUAACUACUGGAAACGGUAGCUAAUACCGCAUAAUGUCGCAAGACCAAAGAGGGGGACCUUCGGGCCUCUUGCCAUCAGAUGUGCCCAGAUGGGAUUAGCUAGUAGGUGAGGUAACGGCUCACCUAGGCGACGAUCCCUAGCUGGUCUGAGAGGAUGACCAGCCACACUGGAACUGAGACACGGUCCAGACUCCUACGGGAGGCAGCAGUGGGGAAUAUUGCACAAUGGGCGCAAGCCUGAUGCAGCCAUGCCGCGUGUAUGAAGAAGGCCUUCGGGUUGUAAAGUACUUUCAGCGGGGAGGAAGGCGAUAAGGUUAAUAACCUUGUCGAUUGACGUUACCCGCAGAAGAAGCACCGGCUAACUCCGUGCCAGCAGCCGCGGUAAUUC
RNAcentral lists this ribosomal RNA (529 nucleotides) under uncultured bacterium. Its description in RNAcentral is "bacterial SSU rRNA". It matches the Rfam family "Bacterial small subunit ribosomal RNA", at positions 8 to 526 of the family's 1533-position model. The record is from RNAcentral.